UACGUAGGGUGCAAGCGUUGUCCGGAAUUAUUGGGCGUAAAGAGCUCGUAGGCGGUCUGUCGCGUCGGUCGUGAAAACUUGGGGCUUAACCCUGAGCUUGCGGUCGAUACGGGCAUGACUGGAGUUCGGCAGGGGAGACUGGAAUUCCAGGUGUAGCGGUGAAAUGCGUAGAUAUCUGGAGGAAUACCGGUGGCGAAGGCGGCAUCCUGGACCGGCAUUGACGCUGAGGAGCGAAAGCCAGGGGAGCAAACGGG
RNAcentral lists this ribosomal RNA (254 nucleotides) under uncultured bacterium. RNAcentral's name for it is "partial 16S ribosomal RNA". It matches the Rfam family "Bacterial small subunit ribosomal RNA", at positions 524 to 776 of the family's 1533-position model. The record is from RNAcentral.